This is a non-coding RNA of Microcebus murinus (gray mouse lemur), 615 nucleotides long. NCBI's taxonomy places the organism in Eukaryota, Metazoa, Chordata, Mammalia, Primates, Cheirogaleidae. The record is from RefSeq and is a predicted model, not a curated record.
AAGGACCAUCAUAGCAUCACAGAAUGAAAUAAUCAUCUCAUACAUUUUCAGUAUAUGAUAGAUAUUAACUCCAGAAAUGCUGAUUUUAUGUUGCCCUGUUUAUUUAACAAAUGUUUCCCAUUUAGUUGUAGUACUUGCUUUCAAAAUUGCACUGAUUUAUCUAAAAAAGUAAAAUGAUAUGAAUGAACCCUUAUGAUGCAUUAAAAUUUCAUUGUAGCUGGGAGCGGUGGUGUGCACCUGUAGUCACAGCUAUUAAAGACGCUGAGGCAGGAGGAUCUUGAGGCAAAGAGUUCAAGUCCAACCUGAGCAAUAUAGCAAGACUUGGUCUCUAAAAGGAAAACAAAGUUUCAUUGAUUUGGUUGUGUCUGCACCUGCAUUUUCCACUGAACUAUUAAAAGAGCAAAGAAGGAAAACAAAACAAAGUAGCAAGUGACACCAAAGGAAGGAAUCAGACCUCCACUGGGGUAAAGGUCAACCCUGAGCUACGAGUAAGUCAGGUGGUGUCUCUGUCCUCGUCUCUCUCCCCUUAUUUCCACACACCAUUUUUGCGGCUGGAAGCUGAGACAACUGUCCUGUGAAGUGCUAUUAUCAAUCUACACUGCAAUGAUUACUCUU